This 337-nucleotide long non-coding RNA is filed under the name Gallus gallus (chicken). Its description in RNAcentral is "lncRNA (ENSGALG00010000113.1)". The record is from RNAcentral. Lineage: Eukaryota; Metazoa; Chordata; Aves; Galliformes; Phasianidae.
CGCUGACCGUCCGCCCGUGGAGCCGGCAGCGGAGGACGAGCGGCGGCACGACGAGGACCGACGACGACGACGACGACGACGACGACGACGACGAGGACGAGCGGAGCCUGCGGACGGCCCUCAAGAAGCUGCGGCUGGACGCGGCGCGGCGGCACGAGGACGAGGAGGAGCAGCAGCAGCAGCAGCAGGACGACGACGAGGACGAGGACGACGACGACGACGACGAGGACGAGGAGGAGCGCAGCCUGCGGACGGCCCUCCAGGAGCUGCGGGUGGACGCGGCGCGGUGUGAGAGGACUGCAGGAGGACCGGCCGGUCUCUCACGGCACGGACGUUC